Molecule: non-coding RNA, 2241 nt
Organism: Carica papaya (papaya)
Lineage: Eukaryota; Viridiplantae; Streptophyta; Magnoliopsida; Brassicales; Caricaceae
Source: RefSeq, a predicted model, not a curated record
CUAUCUCCUCCAUCUUUGGCCGCAGACUUGGAGAGAAAAAUUCUUGGGCUACUUUCCUCGACUCAACAAACUACAACACUCCAUCUUCAACAAAUAGCUUCAUCUAACAAUCUACCUCCAAUCCUAUAACUGUUAUAUGUUUUAAUGGCUGGUUUCACAGAAUAAGAGAAGAAUGAACCACCUCCAUCUGAUUACCUUUUAUUCUAAUCAUAAUUUUUUUUUUUGUUUGUUUUAAUGCCUGGUUUCACAUAAUAAGAGAAGAAUGAACCACCUCCAUCUGAUUACCUUUCCUUCUAAUCAUAAUUUUUUUUCGUUUGUUUUAAUGGCUGGUUUCACAGAAUAAGAGAAGACUGAACCACCUCCAUCUUAUUACCUUUCCUUCUGGUCAUAAUUUUUUUUUUGUUUUAAUGGCUGGUUUCACAGAAUGAGAGAAGAAUGAACCACCUCCAUCUGAUUACCUUUCAUUCUAAUCAUAAUUUUUUUUUUGUUUGUUUUAAUGGCUAGUUUCACAGAAUAAGAGAAGAAUGAACCACCUCCAUUUGAUUACCUUUCCUUCUAAUCAUAAUUUUUUUUUUGUUUGUUUUCACUUUCUUUAGUCAAAAACUUUAUGCGUCUAUAUUUAUCUCGUUUAUCUGUCAUGGUUUUACUGUCGCGUUAAUGUCCUAUAUUCGGCGAAUUCUUUACUUAGGACGUUUUGCCAGAGCUGUGUAUGCAAGGUCAUGUUUACUCAUGGCUAUUGAGUUUGAUACGCAUUGGAUUAAUUGGGAACAGAGAACCUCAUGUGGGUUUCUCUUGUUUUCAGUUAAAAGCUUUGUUUAAAUCUCAUUUAAAACAUUGAAGUUGGACGAUAAUCGAAAAAUUGACUAGGAAGGAAAAUAUAUAAAUUUGCUUAUAAAAGGUUUUUGAAAUUUUAUUACGAUAUUGCCGAUGGUUGUCUUCUUGUUAUUGUCUCCAGGAGUGGAAUUGGGGAAAACUGAUGUGAAGCUUCUUCAGAGAAGCUGCUGGGAAUACAACUCUGGCCGACUCUCUAGCCAAAUCUUGGGAAGCCGUAUCAGGCCUUGGUCCCUGAAUGCUAAAAAUAACAAGAAAAAAUACUCAGUAAUAAAAAAUGGACCUCCUAUCUGCGCCAAUGAGCCAAGAAAAGGGAAGCAGAUCUGGUUCGGAUCUAAACGGCUCGGAUUUAGUUCUAAAACGAGUCAGACUCGGCUCUAGAACGGCUCAGACUCGAUUCUAAAACGGCUCAAAGUCGGCUUGGCUUGUCUUCUCCGGACAGAUCACUGAACGUGCCCAGAAAAAGCGUCUCCAGAUGGGCUGCUGCAUCUUUUUAUUGGCGCUUGAGGAUGUGCAACUGCAAUUUUUUACCAUCGCUUAUGGUUGUGCGGUUGUAUAUUAUUACCAGCGAUUUCGGAGGUGCGGCUCCACUUUUUACCGACGCCUGCGAAUAUAGAUAGCCAUGUAAAACGUCUUGAUGAAGAUCUCAACAACUUUGCAGAAGAUCUAAAGCAAGAGGGAAAGAUACCUCCAGAUGAACCUGCUAUUCUUCCUAGGUUGCCUAUAGUACCAAGAACUGAAAAGCGCAAGUCCUUUUAUCGAACACCUUAAUCAAAGAAGGUAGAUUAUGGAGACAGAGAAUGAGAUCGAGAGCAUGAUAGGAAUUUUGAGUUAAUGCCUCCUCCAGGAAGCCAUAAAAAGGAUUUUGCUACAUCUGCUGAUGUUGAUCAGCCUAUUGACCCCAAUGAACCUACCUACUGUAUCUGUCAUCAGUUUUUUUGGCGAGACUUUGGUAUGAUACUGAAGUGCCGUAAUGUAAUUUUCAUGACCAUCAAGUGUCAUUUGGAGAUAUGAUUGCCUGUGACAAUGAAAAUUGCCAAGGAGGUGAAUGGUUCCAUUACUCAUGCGUUGGACUGACACCAGAGACAAGAUUUCUGCCAACCUGAAGACUUCUGCCACAAAGUCAAUAAAUUGUGCUUGCCAUCUUGGUACCACAAAGUUUUCAUUGUCAACAGUUCAGCAUCUUCUUCAUACAGAAAGGUAGAAAAGUUGGCAUGACUACUUGGCCGAUAAGGUUGGUAACGGGCAGAAAUCUUAGUCCAAUAUUACGGCGGGAGUUGGCAAUUCUUGAUAAAGAUGCUUGUAGCGCCCGGACCGAAAAAGAAAAAAAAAAAAAAAAGCCACGUCAGCAGACCCGGUCAACAGUCCCGGCCAACCGGGACCUGCCACGUGGCAAAACCACGUCGUUCC